UACGGAGGAUCCGAGCGUUAUCCGGAUUCAUUGGGUUUAAAGGGUGCGUAGGUUGUUUUAUAAGUUAGCGGUGAAAUACCGAUGCUCAACAUCGGGGCUGCCGCUGAUACUGUAGGACUAGAGAUCGGAUGCAGCAGGCGGAAUGUGUAGUGUAGCGGUGAAAUGCAUAGAUAUUACACAGAACACCGAUUGCGAAGGCAGCCUGCUAGGCCGGAUCUGACACUGAUGCACGAAAGCGUGGGGAUCGAACAGG
RNAcentral lists this ribosomal RNA (253 nucleotides) under uncultured bacterium. RNAcentral's name for it is "partial 16S ribosomal RNA". It matches the Rfam family "Bacterial small subunit ribosomal RNA", at positions 524 to 776 of the family's 1533-position model. The record is from RNAcentral.